CUCAGAUCUAUGCUGUGAUUUGUUGAUUAGAUUUGUUGAUUAUAAAUAACCGAACAGUUCCUAUAUUUCUAUAUCCGAAAUAACAAAAAAAAAAACGAAUGUGUAAGCCUUGUGUAGAGUAAUUGGCAUGAACAAGAUUUUUUUGAGCUGUGAUUCUUGGAUUUAUAGCUUAUGUAUAAAUAGCCGAAUGGUUCUUAUAUUUCUAUAUCCGAAAGAAAUAAUAAUUUAAAAUGAAUAGAAUGUCUAGGCCUAAUGUAUAGUAAUUGGCAUGAACAAGGUUUUUGAGCUUGCUUUGGUUUCAGAUCUAAGCUGUGAUUCUUGGAUUUACAGCUGUGUAUAAUUAGCCAAACGGUUCUUAUAUCUCUAUAUUCAAAAGAACUUGGAAACUAAAAAAACUGAACCAAAAACCGAAUGUAUAGGUCUAGUGUAGAGUAAUUGACUUGGUUUACGCUGUGAUUCUUGGAUUUAUAGCUAUGUAUAAAUAGCUGAACGGUUCUCUAAAUCAAAAAAAAAAAUUGAAUCGAAAAUUGAAUGUCUAGGCCUAGUGUAUAGUAAUUGGGAUGAACAAGAUCUUUGAGGUUGACUAUGUUACAGAUCUAAGCUGUGAUUCAUGAUGAUAUAUAUAAAUAACUGAACGGUUCCUAUAUACAGUUUAUGUAUCUCUAUAUCCAAAAUAAAUUAAAAAACAAAA
Brassica rapa (field mustard) is the source of this 691-nucleotide long non-coding RNA. RefSeq lists it as uncharacterized. Lineage: Eukaryota; Viridiplantae; Streptophyta; Magnoliopsida; Brassicales; Brassicaceae. The record is from RefSeq and is a predicted model, not a curated record.